UAUUACAUGCAAGUCGAGCGGACAGAUGGGAGCUUGCUCCCUGAUGUUAGCGGCGGACGGGUGAGUAACACGUGGGUAACCUGCCUGUAAGACUGGGAUAACUCCGGGAAACCGGGGCUAAUACCGGAUGCUUGUUUGAACCGCAUGGUUCAAACAUAAAAGGUGGCUUCGGCUACCACUUACAGAUGGACCCGCGGCGCAUUAGCUAGUUGGUGAGGUAAUGGCUCACCAAGGCGACGAUGCGUAGCCGACCUGAGAGGGUGAUCGGCCACACUGGGACUGAGACACGGCCCAGACUCCUACGGGAGGCAGCAGUAGGGAAUCUUCCGCAAUGGACGAAAGUCUGACGGAGCAACGCCGCGUGAGUGAUGAAGGUUUUCGGAUCGUAAAGCUCUGUUGUUAGGGAAGAACAAGUACCGUUCGAAUAGGGCGGUACCUUGACGGUACCUAACCAGAAAGCCACGGCUAACUACGUGCCAGCAGCCGCGGUAAUACGUAGGUGGCAAGCGUUGUCCGGAAUUAUUGGGCGUAAAGGGCUCGCAGGCGGUUUCUUAAGUCUGAUGUGAAAGCCCCCGGCUCAACCGGGGAGGGUCAUUGGAAACUGGGGAACUUGAGUGCAGAAGAGGAGAGUGGAAUUCCACGUGUAGCGGUGAAAUGCGUAGAGAUGUGGAGGAACACCAGUGGCGAAGGCGACUCUCUGGUCUGUAACUGACGCUGAGGAGCGAAAGCGUGGGGAGCGAACAGGAUUAGAUACCCUGGUAGUCCACGCCGUAAACGAUGAGUGCUAAGUGUUAGGGGGUUUCCGCCCCUUAGUGCUGCAGCUAACGCAUUAAGCACUCCGCCUGGGGGAGUACGGUCGCAAGACUGAAACUCAAAGGAAUUGACGGGGGCCCGCACAAACGGUGGAGCAUGUGGGUUUAUUUCGAAACAACGCGA
This 936-nucleotide ribosomal RNA is filed under the name Bacillus subtilis. Its description in RNAcentral is "bacterial SSU rRNA". It matches the Rfam family "Bacterial small subunit ribosomal RNA", at positions 49 to 964 of the family's 1533-position model. The record is from RNAcentral. Lineage: Bacteria; Bacillati; Bacillota; Bacilli; Caryophanales; Bacillaceae.